Non-coding RNA from Seriola aureovittata, 791 nucleotides. NCBI's taxonomy places the organism in Eukaryota, Metazoa, Chordata, Actinopteri, Carangiformes, Carangidae. The record is from the annotation of a RefSeq genome assembly.
CUCAUUAAAUUAAUCUGACUCAUACAGAAUGCUUGUUCAAUAUAACAUUGAUGUUUUUCCAUACACUGUGUGAAGAAUCUGAAUCUUUGAGAUGAAAUAAAAUAAAAUAAAAUUUACAUAGAAAUGAGCAUCAGCACUUUCAUCAUCAAUACUCUGAUCAAGUGAUUGAUCCAUUGAGAAACAGCAUGAUCAGAGUGAUCCAAGUCCCUGCUGGAGUCAGUCAGAGCAUUUCCAUAGAGAGCCACUUUGCAUCAGCAGCACCAUGCUCCAGUGCUCUGGGAGAGUUUAUAGUCCUGAGAGUUGAAGACUGGAUGACUGACAGCUGUCCUUCAUGACAACAGAAGACACAGAAAUCCUCCUCAUCAGAAACAUGACUUUGGUCUCCGUCCUCAUCUGGACUCUCCUCUGCUUCACUCAGGGGUCUGUUGGACAAAAUGUUGUUGUGACUCAGUCAGCAGCCAAAUCAGUGCAGCUUGGUCAAACUGUCUCUGUUGACUGUAAGGCCAGUCCAAAAGUAGCUCACUACACUGGGUCAAAAUACUACCUGUCCUGGUACCAUCAGAAACCUGGAGAAGCUCCUAAACUUCUGAUCUACCUCACAUCAGACAGAUUUUCAGGAAUCUCCUCCAGAUUCAGUGGAAGUGGAGCAGGGAAUGGAGUUGACUUCACUCUGACCAUCAGUGGAGUCCAGGCUGAAGAUGCAGGAGUUUACUACUGUCAGAGUUAUCACUCUAUCAACAGUCAAGCUGUGUUCACACAGUGAAAAGGCGUCGUACAAAAACCUCCCUCAG